GAUUGGACACGUAAGUCAUGGCGCAAAUUCCAAAAGGUUCUUACCAAACCUAUCGCCUUUUUUCCUUUCUCGUUUUCAGUUGCUGCCGUUAUAAAUAAUUCGAUAUCGCCAAUCGAACAAUCACUUUCCUCUUCUACCGAAAUCGAUGCCGGUUGCCUUUGUUCUCCGUCGGAGCCGCUGCUCUCACCGUCGAUUUGUGAUUCUAGUCGAUGGUAGUCGAUGAUCCGAGGGAGAUGAACUUACUGAUUGUUCUUCUUCGAAUUUGUUUCUGCUUGGAGGAAUUAUGGAGCGGGAUUUGAACUGUGAUUCUAGUCGAUGGUAGUCGAUGAUCCGAGGGAGAUGAACUUACCGAUUGUUCUUCUUCGAAUUUGAUUCUGCUUGGAGGACUUAUGGAGCGGGAUUUGAACUGUGUCUACUUCCGAAAGAAUCGUUCAUUCUUCACUGAUCUGAUCUGUUUUAGUUGCAAAUUUGCUAGUCGAUUUGUGAUGUGAUCGAACAGAGAAAGUAAGGUUGCAG
This is a long non-coding RNA of Cucurbita moschata (crookneck pumpkin), 516 nucleotides long. RefSeq lists it as uncharacterized. The transcript is spliced from 3 exons. Lineage: Eukaryota; Viridiplantae; Streptophyta; Magnoliopsida; Cucurbitales; Cucurbitaceae. The record is from RefSeq and is a predicted model, not a curated record.